CGACUAAUCAAAAAAAACUCCAGUACUUUAAAAUGUUUUUGCAUUGGACUGGAACUUACUACAGCUGGCCACUGGCCCAUAUAAAAAGGCUGCAGAGGAGUGAUGUGCAGUUCCUCCACAUGAGCGGAAUAGGUGUGGACCCUCUUGCUUAAAUGACGACAUACAGAUGAUGAGGCAGAUGCCCAAUCAAGAUAUCUUUUGGACCUUAGUGGAGGUAUUGGAAACGGAAACAGGGGAGAAAAAGCAGAUCAUUGCAUCCCUAAUCAUGUCAUUUAAUGACCCCUUGUUCCCUGUAUAGAAGCAUCUGCAUUCAUUAUGUUUUUAUUUCCACUUAUUCACUUGAUACCUUAAAGGAACAGAAGAGACCUUGGUGAACGGACAGGCAUAUAUUUUGUCGUGCUACGGCUGACGAUUUUAUACGUGGAUAUAUGCUGUUUUGCCAGAAACCAGAAAGAUAUACACUGGGACAUUGAGGGCUUGAGGAACAGCUUUCACUGAUGUGAUGAGUGCUGACCCUGCAGCUUUUCUUCAACUGCCAACCAUCUUUGUGUCAUUCAAAUUCUCUGCAUAUCCUCCAGUCCGAAUAAACUACCAGAUACCAGGUGGAAAUGUCCCAAUUCUGCCCCAGAGCUUGUGAUAAAAAAGAGAAGUGUCAACAUGUUCAUGACAGGCACUACGGCUUUGUGAUAUCCAUGUUCCCAGUGAGGAAUACUGCCUUUGUGAGUGACAGAACAAGAGAAAAUAACAUGUUUUGAUCUUCUUCUUUAAAUCUUUACAUUUUUCAUUUGCAGUCAUAAUUUAAAGCAACCUUUACCAGUGAAUCCCUACAACCUCACAGCACUGUAUGUCUGCUGACAGUAUUACAUUAUGUUUAGUUGACAUGGCCCAUAGCUCCUUACGCUUUCCUCCCUGAUCAGAUUUAAUCCUAUUUAUUCACAACGUUGUAUCCCUUUGUCCUGGUUUGACAUUUGGAGUAAGUAAAUUCACUGGAGUUAUUUUUAGUGCCACCUACUGAAAUGAAGUCGUAGUACAACGGCUGUAGUGCUGCACAAGUGCUGCAUGUGUAGACUCAUAACAGCACUCUAGGUAGGUUAGUGGGAUAAAAAGCCAAUCACUUGACUUCAUCUACUCCCACUGAAAAAUUAAAGAAAUUGGUGUUAUGCACAGCAGGGGAAGUGGGAAAAGUGUGUGAAGAGAAGAAGAGAGACUGCAUGUGUGUGCCUCCAGUUGGUGUCAGACAGCGUCACUACCACAAAGAGAUCUGUUUUGACUAGAUUCCACAGCCCUUAGUCCUUCAGACCUGUGACAUUUAAUCUCACUAAGACCUCAUUUACUCUGUUCACUGGGUAACAACAUUCCUCAGAUUAACAAGCUUGCUCCACAAGCUCUUAGCAGACCUGCCUGUAGCCAUCUAAGCACACAAACUACACCCCCAUGUGAUAAACAAGAAGCCAAUCUUCUACUUUAUUCUCUAUUCUCUUAAAGUGAGAAAUGAAAGUGCUAGUAGGAAAAACUUCCAGGUAGUGUGUGCAGUUAGGAUCCAUCCAACAGGUUUCAUUACAAGAGUAUUUGCUAUGCAAAUGUGAUUGUGUACUUUCCCUACUGCAGGCAGGUAUUUUACUUCCUGGCUGCAAGGCCAAGGCAGUGUGUAAUGUUUACACUGAUCUUUGGCACAGAGCAAAUUUGUUUUGCCGACAAAUCUCACUGCACUAUGACAAUGUGGAAAAGAAAAUCUGGUGAAAAUGUAAAAAUCAUGAUAUAAUAGUUGAUGUUAUCCUAUAACACAAUAUCGUAUAAGUGUUAAUCAACUGUUGUAUGCUGCUUGGUUCGGCAAGUUUGGACACUGUUAGUAAAAAAAGGAUUGUGUCAU
Perca fluviatilis (European perch) is the source of this 1870-nucleotide long non-coding RNA. RefSeq lists it as uncharacterized. NCBI's taxonomy places the organism in Eukaryota, Metazoa, Chordata, Actinopteri, Perciformes, Percidae. The record is from RefSeq and is a predicted model, not a curated record. The transcript is spliced from 3 exons.